This 305-nucleotide ribosomal RNA is filed under the name uncultured bacterium. RNAcentral's name for it is "bacterial SSU rRNA". It matches the Rfam family "Bacterial small subunit ribosomal RNA", at positions 333 to 654 of the family's 1533-position model. The record is from RNAcentral.
UGUGACCUACGGGGCGCAGCAGUGGGGAAUAUUGCACAAUGGGGGAAACCCUGAUGCAGCAACGCCGCGUGAAGGAAGACGGUUUUCGGAUUGUAAACUUCUGUUCUUAGUGAAGAAUAAUGACGGUAGCUAAGGAGCAAGCCACGGCUAACUACGUGCCAGCAGCCGCGGUAAUACGUAGGUGGCAAGCGUUGUCCGGAGUUACUGGGUGUAAAGGGUGCGUAGGUGGCAGGGCAAGUCAGAUGUGAAAGCCCGGGGCUCAACCCCGGUACUGCAUUUGAAACUGUCCAGCUGGAGUGCAGGAG